This is an RNA transcript of Vicia villosa (hairy vetch), 2080 nucleotides long. It is a transcript of the gene named Golgi apparatus membrane protein TVP38-like, with no coding region annotated. The record is from RefSeq and is a predicted model, not a curated record. The transcript is spliced from 5 exons. Lineage: Eukaryota; Viridiplantae; Streptophyta; Magnoliopsida; Fabales; Fabaceae.
UAAAUCACAGAUGGGUUUCCACAAGCAACAGAAAAGAAACUGAAAAAAGCGCUUCCAAAAUUGAACCUUCUUCCCAUUCUCGGAUCACACUGUUUCUUCAUUCCUUAACCGAACGCGCUUUUUUCCAUCAUCACCAUCGUUGCUAUCUUCGUUUCUCAAUCUAUUCUCACAUUGCACGUGGUGGUGAUGUCACUUAAAGCGAUUCACCAAACAUGAUCAACAACUCUUUAUAAUAAAAGAAACUUUUUAUCUUUUCGUUGUUGCAGAUUUUGGGGUUACCGAGCGAUUAGGGUUUCCGAUGACGGGGUACGACGAUGACUGUGGCGGUGAGUUGAAAAAGGAGGUAGUGUCGGACCUCACUAUCACAAUCGAAGCUGAUGAUAACAAAGGGGAUUAUAUCAAAUUGAUUUCUUGCUCCGAUGAGGGUUCACCGUUAGGUGUGGCCGAGGAGAAGGAGGAGUGUUCUCCGCCGGCGAGGAGAUCCGUUGUGUGGUACUGGAUUAAAAUGGUGUUGUUGUUUUUAUUCUUAGGGUUUUGUGCUGUUGCUGUGCUCAAGUGGGUUGGACCUUAUUUCAUAGACAAGGAGAUUAUUCCAAUAAUAAAUUGGGAAACAGAAACUUUCAGUCCUCCGGUGCUUACUAUUUUGGUGUUUGCUUCGGUAGCACUUUUUCCAACUAUACUUUUGCCAUCUACACCCUCUAUGUGGGUUGCUGGAAUGAAAUAUGGUUAUGGAUUUGGGUUCUUGCUAAUAAUACCUGCAGUAGCUAUUGGUGUUUCACUCCCUUUUAUCAUUGGCUCAAUCUUCCAUCAUAAAAUUGAAGGAUGGUUGGAGAAGUAUCCAAAGAAAGCUUCUAUCCUAAAGUCUGCUGGCGGUGGAAGCUGGUUUCAUCAGUUUCGAGCAGUUGCCUUAAUCAGGAUUUCUCCAUUUCCUUACAUGAUCUACAACUAUUGUGCUGUGGCAACAAAUGUCAAGUACGGGCCUUAUAUAAUUGGAUCCUUGGUUGGAAUAGUGCCAGAAAUAUUCGUUGCAAUCUAUACGUUAUGCUUGAGUAUGUUUAGCCGUAUAUGGUUAUUUCAAGAAAAUACAAUUGUUUACUAGUUUUGUAUGGUAAAAGUUGCUUCAAUUAGAAUUUUUUUAUGUUUAUAAAUUUUGAAUGACUGGAUUGAUACUCCUCCAUACUCUUCCUGUUUACAAUGUUUUCAUGUCUCCCUCAAUUAGAAAUGAUUUGGUGAACUGAUGAAUCUGUUAUAUGUUCCUCCAUUAAUUAUUUUCAUGUUUUUGAGGUGGGUGAUUGCUUUUGCUUUAUGCUUUUCGGUUUGUAGUUGUAUUUAAAACUAAUUUCCUUAUGUAUGCUUACAAUUCAGCUCAAGAAUUUGUUUUUGGUCAUCGAAGUUCAUUGAUUUUACAAUUUGUACUUUAGACAAGUGCAAUUUUUUAUGUGUGAUCAACUGAACAUCUUCAUCUGUGUCCUCUCACGUUGAUCCUCCAUUCUUCCUUGAAUUUGACUAUUGGUAAUAUACUAGGUUGGAGAAUACUCAUUUGUCCGUCCAGUAGAUUAUUGUUUUUCUUGGAGCAGCUGGCUGCUUAGUUCACAUUUGUCUGUAUUCUCAUUUAGAUCUCACUUAGGAAUACUAUCUAUCACAUUUGUCUGUUCUAAGAAUUUUUAUAGAUGUAAGAGAUUACUCUCUUUCCAUGCAUGGCAUGUGUGGCUUCUUAAAUUACUCAUACUUGCUUUAUCCAUUCAAUGGUAAAGGUUGCCUAUCAUAAUGAUGGUGCUGAUUGCAGAAAUGCUGGAAUGCUCACCUAUGGAAACUUCACUUUCUAGUUCCACAAGCAAAAUAUUUAAUACAAUACCCUAUUUGGCUGUUCCCCCUCUAAUACUAUUUGCCACCAUUCUUUGAUCUAUUCUUUAGCUUUGAUGAUUCCCUUGACCCAAUAAAGGGGAAUUUUGAUUCGGACAUUGGCUGAUGCUACAAAUGAAAGACAAUCUCUAUCUGCCCCGCAAAUCAUUUUCAAUGCUUUAGGCUUCUGCAUAACUGUGGCUACAACCAUCAUUAUCACAGUUUAUGCCAAGAGACG